GAAGCGGACAAUCAAAUAUAGAAAAGAAACUUGAACUAUCAUACACCUUCUUUGACAAAAUAUCGGCAGCUUGAUUUCGUGCCGUUUGACAUGACUCAACGAGCAUUCUGGUAACAAAUACAUCCAAUACCGAAUUUCAAAUAAUACAUUACCAAAUUGAACACUGUGUUCUGUCAAAUUUACAAUCCUGCUGAAUUGAUAUCUUGCUGAAUUCACUAUUAUCCCCUUCGAACCAUACAUUUCGCCGACCCUUUAUCCAAGUUUGUUGAAGAACAUACAAAACAACCCAUUGUUUCUGCUUCUAAGACUGAUGUUACCCCCACCACUCUUGCCAUCCCCGAAGAAUAUGUAUUCCAGCAUCAUUACGCACAAUCCAUCCCAUAUCCAAAGUCUUCAUCCUUGACGAUAACGACUGUCAAAAUUGCAUUUUAGGCAAUCUGAUAGUAGUGGUUCCCAUUAUGAGCUUAUGCGCUUUAUAUUGUAUGGUAUCGGUAUUACUUUGCCAUUCAGCUGUCGCGUAUAAGGCUCUACAAACGUCCUCUAUAGAGAACAUUUCGCUUACUGAAGCAAAGUUAAUUUUGAAAAUUCCAAAUGAUCAGCCACAACUUCCGAAAACAAUUUCUCUAUUUUAUAUUCCAAUAGAAGAAAAAUUGAAAUCAUUAUUUAAAUUGAAUGAUAAAUUUAUUUUUUAGUUAUUGUUUCGUUUUUCACUAUAAACGAAGUAAAUUUUAAGUUUCACAGCUCCAUUAUAUAAUUAUUCUAUUUUCUAAAAAAAUUAAAAUAACAUUGGAUAUGUUUCUAAUGCUCUUAGACUACCUCGAAACUCUUCCCG
Molecule: long non-coding RNA, 832 nt
Filed under: Brassica napus (rape)
Lineage: Eukaryota; Viridiplantae; Streptophyta; Magnoliopsida; Brassicales; Brassicaceae
Description: long non-coding RNA (BNAP_LNC005611)
Source: RNAcentral